GCGCCUGCGGUUCACUGCUCGUGCGUCUGGUUUUCCUGCAUUGUCUUCAGGGAAAAUAUAAGACAUAACCACUCUGGCGAUGUGAAGCGCUUGAAUUGCUGAAGAACUCAAUGAAACCAUAACAUUACCAACACCAAUGUGACAGAGCUAACUGUAGCUUUUGGGAUCAAGAGAACCAAAGAAAAGAGGAUGUGAAAAAUUAAGAAAUAAUUAAACAUUGACAGGUGUCAGUUGUUUUACAAGUAAGAUGAUGAAACAAAAUGAGUCCAAGUCUGUCUGUGUGUAUAACUCUGACAAUAAUAUUUCCAGAUUUAAAAGCGCCCAGUUUUGGCUAAAAAGUAAUUGAAUGCAGGACAAAAAUAUAUCUUCUGUUUUUAAUCAAAGAGUUUAAGAAGAUUGACACACACAUUAACACAUCCUAAAUAAAUAAGGGGGCAGAUGCAUAGUUUUUGUACUUGUAACAUAAUAAAAAGUAGUGAUCAGACAUUAUUAAAAACGGUGUUAAAGCUCAGGAUAUUUA
Molecule: long non-coding RNA, 520 nt
Organism: Poecilia latipinna (sailfin molly)
Lineage: Eukaryota; Metazoa; Chordata; Actinopteri; Cyprinodontiformes; Poeciliidae
Exons: 2
Source: RefSeq, a predicted model, not a curated record